CCCGACUGCUAUCGGAUUGAGAUUUAGCCAUGCGAGUCGAACGUCCCCCUGUUGCGGGGGGCGUGGCGUACGGCUCAGUAACACGUAGUCAACCUGCCCUGGAGACAAGGACAACCCCGGGAAACUGGGAUUAAUCCUUGAUAGGUCAUCUCAUCUGGAAGGAGAGAUGGCUUAAAGGGGUACGCGGGCUUCUUCCGCGAAUCUGCUCCAGGAUGGGACUGCGUCCGAUCAGGCUGUUGGCGGGGUAAUGGCCCACCAAACCUGUAACCGGUACGGGCCUUGAGAGAGGUGGCCCGGAGAUGGACACUGAGAGAAGGGUCCAGGUCCUACGGGGCGCAGCAGGCGCGAAACCUUCGCAAUGCGCGAAAGCGUGACGAGGUUAAUCCGAGUGACUCCCGCUGAGGGGGUCUUUUGUCAGCUGUAAAUAGGCAGGCGAAUAAGGGGAGGGCAAGCCUGGUGUCAGCCGCCGCGGUAAUACCAGCUCCUCGAGUGGUCGGGGCGAUUAUUGGGCCUAAAGCAUCCGUAGCCGGUUCCGUAGGUCCUCUGUUAAAUCCAACCGCUUAACGGUUGACCUGCAGAGGAUACCGCGGGACUAGGAGGCGGGAGAGGCGGACGGUACUCCGCGUGUAGGGGUAAAAUCCUUUGAUCCGCGGAAGACCACCAGUGGCGAAGGCGGUCCGCCAGAACGCGCUCGACGGUGAGGGAUGAAAGCUGGGGGAGCGAACCGGAUUAGAUACCCGGGUAGUCCCAGCCGUAAACGAUGCUAGCUAGAUGAUUCAUUCGCAAGUCGCGAAUGAAGUGUCGCAGGGAAGCCGUUAAGCUAGCCGCCUGGGGAGUACGGUCGCAAGACU
This 851-nucleotide ribosomal RNA is filed under the name uncultured crenarchaeote. RNAcentral's name for it is "bacterial SSU rRNA". It matches the Rfam family "Archaeal small subunit ribosomal RNA", at positions 21 to 850 of the family's 1478-position model. The record is from RNAcentral. Lineage: Archaea; Thermoproteati; Thermoproteota.